This 475-nucleotide ribosomal RNA is filed under the name uncultured organism. Its description in RNAcentral is "partial 16S ribosomal RNA". It matches the Rfam family "Bacterial small subunit ribosomal RNA", at positions 329 to 796 of the family's 1533-position model. The record is from RNAcentral.
ACGUACACUCCUACGGGAGGCAGCAGUGGGGAAUAUUGCACAAUGGGCGCAAGCCUGAUGCAGCCAUGCCGCGUGUAUGAAGAAGGCCUUCGGGUUGUAAAGUACUUUCAGCGGGGAGGAAGGCGAUAAGGUUAAUAACCUUGUCGAUUGACGUUACCCGCAGAAGAAGCACCGGCUAACUCCGUGCCAGCAGCCGCGGUAAUACGGAGGGUGCAAGCGUUAAUCGGAAUUACUGGGCGUAAAGCGCACGCAGGCGGUCUGUCAAGUCGGAUGUGAAAUCCCCGGGCUCAACCUGGGAACUGCAUUCGAAACUGGCAGGCUAGAGUCUUGUAGAGGGGGGUAGAAUUCCAGGUGUAGCGGUGAAAUGCGUAGAGAUCUGGAGGAAUACCGGUGGCGAAGGCGGCCCCCUGGACAAAGACUGACGCUCAGGUGCGAAAGCGUGGGGAGCAAACAGGAUUAGAAACCCGUGUAGUCC